This 576-nucleotide ribosomal RNA is filed under the name uncultured bacterium. RNAcentral describes it as "bacterial SSU rRNA". It matches the Rfam family "Bacterial small subunit ribosomal RNA", at positions 102 to 694 of the family's 1533-position model. The record is from RNAcentral.
ACGGGUGAGUAACACGUAGCUAAUCUACCUCAAGGCGCGGGAUAACGUGUCGAAAGACAGGCUAAUACCGCAUAAGCUCACAAAAAGUAGAGGAUUGUGAGAAAAGGCGCAAGUCACUUUGAGAUGAGGCUGCGGCCCAUCAGCUAGUUGGUGCGGUAAAAGCGCACCAAGGCGACGACGGGUAGGGGACCUGAGAGGGUGACCCCCCACACUGGGACUGAGACACGGCCCAGACUCCUACGGGAGGCAGCAGUGAGGAAUAUUGCACAAUGGGCGAAAGCCUGAUGCAGCGACGCCGCGUGGGUGAAGAAGGUUUUCGGAUCGUAAAACCCUUUUCUGUGUGACGAGCAAGGACGGUAGCACAGGAAUAAGUCUCGGCUAACUACGUGCCAGCAGCCGCGGUAAAACGUAGGAGACAAACGUUAUCCGGAGUUACUGGGCGUAAAGGGCGUGUAGGUGGUUCUGUAAGUCUGGCGUGAAAUUUCUCGGCUUAACCGAGGCAGGUCGUCGGAUACUGCAGGGCUAGAGGACGGUAGAGGCGUGUGGAAUUCCGGGUGUAGUGGUGAAAUGCGUAGA